RNAcentral lists this ribosomal RNA (369 nucleotides) under Parougia theloniousblueski. RNAcentral's name for it is "partial 16S ribosomal RNA". It matches the Rfam family "Bacterial large subunit ribosomal RNA", at positions 1924 to 2549 of the family's 2925-position model. Lineage: Eukaryota; Metazoa; Annelida; Polychaeta; Eunicida; Dorvilleidae. The record is from RNAcentral.
UUAACGGCCGCGAUUAUACGUGCAAAGGUAGCAUAAUCAAUUGUCCUUUAAUUGUGGACUAGAAUGAAUGGAUAAAUAAAAAUUAAUCUAUAAAAGCUUUAACAAUAAAAAUUUACCUUUAGAUGAAAAGGUCUAAAUAUAAAUAAAAGACCAGAAGACCCUACAGAGCUUUUUCUUAAACCAAUAAAUUAUUGAUCAUAAGAUUUGGUUGGGGCAACCAAGGAAUAUCUAUCCUUAAACUAAACCGAUAAAUAAAUUAAUCCUAUAUUAAUCAUAUUUAAGCUACCUUAGGGAUAACAGGCUAAUCUUAUUUUAUAGUCCACAUACACAAUAAGGUUUGGCACCUCGAUGUUGGCUUGAGAUCACUUU